This 605-nucleotide long non-coding RNA is filed under the name Pan troglodytes (chimpanzee). RNAcentral describes it as "long non-coding RNA NONPTRT012264". The record is from RNAcentral. Lineage: Eukaryota; Metazoa; Chordata; Mammalia; Primates; Hominidae.
CGUUAAAUGUGCUACAGAGACACAGACUUGUAUCCAACAUUUCAGAGGUAGUCAGUAUGCAGCAGGAAAACAAAAUAAAACGCAGGCUGAAAUGGGUGGGAUCCAAGGAAUCAAAGCAGUAGAUGGACGACCAGGAGCACCCCAGGUUAUCUUCAGGAAACAGAGCGACAAAACGCAAAGGGAAUGAACUCCAUUGCCUUUGUGUGCACGAAGCCGGAAGCACGACCACUCUUCACCCUCGGCCUCAUUACAACACCAAGACCUCUGCCUCGGCGCGGGAGCUCUCACCUGGAAUCCCAGCACCUUGGGAGGCCGAAGCGGACGGAUCACCUGAGGUGUCAGGAGUUUGAGACCAGCCUGGCCAACAAGGGACGCUCACCUACCUCAUGAAUUACGCGUGUCGCCCUCCUCAAGACGCCACAACGCACUCCCCUGGGGAGCCAGCUGGAGACCUCUCCCUGCGGUGCUGUCUCCUCCGUGGUGGAACGGAAGCCCCUAAUAAAGCCUUGUCUGGGAAAUUUGCUUGGCCUCGUGUCAAUUUUUAUCGGAGCCUAAAGAACCUGUGGUCAGUAACACGAUCACUUCAGUUAUCACUUAAGUGUUGG